UGGAUCUGCAGAGCUGAAGCAGAGAGACUUCUCCUGGCAUCCCAUGCCUGUGGGAACAUGAAAUCCCUAGUGCAACUGCCAGGAGCAGAGCCCCAAUGAAACUGGGUGGAGCAGUCAGUUUAUCAGCCAGUGUAAACCUCACGUUUGAACUCCAACAGUUUCAAAGGAUUCAAAGGAUCUUCUGCAGGCAGCGUUGAUAGUACCUUUCCACUGACUUGAGGUGUCCCCUGUAUGUUGGUUAUGUCUCAACUCCAUACAGUAAGUAGUACCAAGUGGGCAAUGAAGCUGCAGAAUUUGAGAACCCCGAUUCCAAUUCAACCUAAGUUAGAUGACUGAAGCUAAAGCAGAGAAAAAUCUCUCUCCUUCACGCUCAGUUGAGCCCAGAAUCUGCAAGCUUCAGUGAAGAAGAAAAGCUGUGGUCAGUGAAAGGCACAUUUCAGAAAGCUAGCCAAAAUAUGUGGGCCACCAUUAAACCCACCUUCAUCCACAACUUGGCCUUCUCUCCUGGGGAUCUAUGCAGGCAUAAGUGGCUUGUGAUUGUUGUGGAAGAAGAGAGGAUACUACCCAGUUGCUCCCUACCUGCUGAGAGCACUGACCUGCAGGAUGGACAAAUCUGGAAGAAAGGAGGGAAAGGAGUAAGUCUGAGUAAGUCUGCAGUAAAUCUGAGUUUAGUACCUCAGGCCUGUCUGGUUCUGAGAACUUUAGGCUGUUCCUGAUUUGCCUAUAGUGAGGCUGCAACAAGGCUAGUGGGGUAGAUCUACUUCAGAGGAAGGUUGAUACAGGAGCCAGAGCCAUGCUCUAGCAGGGUUGUGGUGUUGCUCUAAGAGCAAUUUUCUCUUAGUCUUCAAUACUCCCUUCAGUGUAAGGCUUACCUAAAAUGAGGUACGAAAAACUGCUUAAGGGACCACAAUAUUGAAUGCUCACAAGAUGAGCUCUUCUGCUAUUGGAGGUGGAACCAGACUGAGGAGUGCACAUCUCAAGAUGGGUGAUGCAGUAUCCCAUCAUUUCUUUGUUCAGUUUAGCCUGUUCUGGCUCAAACACAUCACAUUAAAUGUGAUGUUCUCUAGAAGAGAAAAUGGUCUGAAUAUGGAGGGGCAGGGAAUAUGAUGGAUGAAGAAGAGUUAUAAAAUGAGAAAAGGAAAAAAAAAAAAAGCAAAGGGAAAGGAGAGGAGAGGGACGUGACUCAGAGUGUCACGGCUUCCCUCCCCCUCCCUGCAAUACCAGCUCAAGUCAGGGCUGGGCCAAGGGUAAUUGGUGCCCUAGGUGAACUGUGUACCUUGGCACCCCCACCACUUCCAAUAUAGAGGAAAAUAAGAAGUCUACAAUGAACUUUUACAUGUACUUAUUUAAUAUUCACAAUGAACAAUAAAACAAUAAAAACAAAUUUUUAUUGA
This is a long non-coding RNA of Alligator mississippiensis (American alligator), 1394 nucleotides long. RefSeq lists it as uncharacterized. The record is from RefSeq and is a predicted model, not a curated record. NCBI's taxonomy places the organism in Eukaryota, Metazoa, Chordata, Crocodylia, Alligatoridae. The transcript is spliced from 4 exons.